CGACUUAGUGCGGUAUCUUUUCUGAAUUUCUCCGACAGUCGAAUUUUUGACCUGGUGCGAUGCUUUUCUAAACUCCCCCAACUGUCGAGCUAUGAUAACGCCCUUCCAGACUUCUCCAAUGACGAACUUCUUCAGUCGUCCAUCGAACUGCUUCAAAUGCUCUCCGGACUUCACUAUCUACCGACCUUCUACAAUGAUCGACCGUUCUCCGGACCUCUUCCAGAUCUCAUCCAGCCAUGAUGGAUUCUAAUCCGAAUUUCUCAAACUUCGUCCAUGGCCAAAUUUCCCCAAGGAUAGAUUUCUACAGCACCCAACUCCACCCAUAUUUCUACGACGGUCGACCGCCUUUCUGAUUUCAUCCGAGCUCCUACGGGAGCCGGACCACUGCCCCGAAUUCCUAUUGCAGGUAGACUUCAUCCGAGCCCCUACUACAAAUAGUCUACUCCGAACUCCUACUAUGAAUGGUCUACUCCGAACUUCCACUACGAGUGGUCUGCCCCGAACU
RNAcentral lists this long non-coding RNA (505 nucleotides) under Elaeis guineensis (African oil palm). Its description in RNAcentral is "long non-coding RNA (EGUI_LNC046653)". Lineage: Eukaryota; Viridiplantae; Streptophyta; Magnoliopsida; Arecales; Arecaceae. The record is from RNAcentral.